GGGGGUGGCGGGAAGCUAGGGUUUCGGUCAAUCCAAGCUCCGGACCCCCCGCUGAGCUCCUAGGACAUUUCCUCCCCUCGCAUCCCCUCUCCCGGUGCCUAAUGCAGGUUCUACUCACGGCUGGCGCCCUGUCAGUUGCCCUCCUAGAGCGGGAGGUCUGGGACUCACUGCCGAGCCCUGAGCUCUUGCUGUCAGCCUUCCCCGACUCUGCCAAGGCUCCAGACAGUUGCCACGAAUGGAUCUUGGCUGGUGAGCUGAGGCUUGGGCUGGGAGCAGCAGGAAAUCGAAGGGAUGUGGUGAAGGCUGAGAACUGCUGGAAAGGAAACCAAGAUCCCGGAGCUCUAUGGACUCCGGGGUGUAGCUGACACUUCUGGUGACCUCAGGUGAGUCACUGGCCAGCUCCGGACCUCAGGUUCCUCAUUGAGAAGCAGUAGCAGUUUUCAAAUGCUGCCCCUAUUAUUACGUAGGGAAAUUAAAACCUAGAUGAUUUAAAAGAGAGAGAAAAGAGGCAUCCGCCACAUUUCUGAUCAUUUCCCAAGUACCCCGUUAGAGCUCUGACCCCACGGGACACUCCAUGGGGUUGCAUGGGAAUCCUGCGCCCAGGAAGUAGAAGUUAGAAGCUUCAGAUGUGACAUCAGGAUGGAAUCAGGGAGGGGAAGUCUCGAUUCAGAGUCGACACAGCAGAUCAGUGACAGGGCGAAGCCUGGAACUCAAGUCCCUUGUUUUCAGCUCGGGCUGGUGAGGGGAAUCCCUGGGCCCUCUGAUGUCAACUCCGAGACUUGGAACUAACCCCUCGGUUAAAUCAAGCUGGGCUUCGCAGAAGGCAGGAAGGCUGGGGGGAGGUGGGGCCAGUCUGGAGCUGGGGCCACACCUCGGAGUCUCCCAAACACAGGUGGUGAGACCCUGAGCCCAGGCACAGC
This is a long non-coding RNA of Acinonyx jubatus (cheetah), 920 nucleotides long. RefSeq lists it as uncharacterized. The transcript is spliced from 3 exons. The record is from RefSeq and is a predicted model, not a curated record. Lineage: Eukaryota; Metazoa; Chordata; Mammalia; Carnivora; Felidae.